This 982-nucleotide ribosomal RNA is filed under the name Aurelia sp. YL-2022. Its description in RNAcentral is "partial large subunit ribosomal RNA". It matches the Rfam family "Eukaryotic large subunit ribosomal RNA", at positions 149 to 942 of the family's 3401-position model. Lineage: Eukaryota; Metazoa; Cnidaria; Scyphozoa; Semaeostomeae; Ulmaridae. The record is from RNAcentral.
AGUCUCGAGAGCGUUUUCCCGGCGGAUCUAUCCUGCCUAAGUUGCUUGGAACAGCACAUCAGAGAGGGUGACAAUCCCGUUUGUGGCAGGGCAGACCGUUCAUGAUACGCUUUCCAUGAGUCGGGUUGCUUGGGAAUGCAGCCCAAAAUUGGUGGUAAACUCCAUCUAAAGCUAAAUAUUGGCACGAGACCGAUAGCGAACAAGUACCGUGAGGGAAAGAUGAAAAGAACUUUGAAAAGAGAGUUAAAAAGUGCGUGAAACCGUUAGAGGGGAAGCGGAUGCAGUUAGCAAUGCUUCUGCGAGAUUCAGGCGGUCGCUCGGCCAGACGUGCAGUUGGUGGAUCCGAAUGGACUGUCGCUGCACGGCCGGGUCUUGUGUCCGUCGCACUUCUCGCUGGAGCGCGUCAACAGCUGCUGGGCCUGGUCGACACGGUCGGGUGGAAGGUGAGCAUCCAGCUUGCUGGCUGUUGUUAUAUCCACUCGUGCCCAGGUCGGGCUUGGCAGAGGUGAGCGGUGCAUGCUCUCUCUCGAGGGCUGGCGUCCUGUUCCGUUCACGUAGCUGGCUCGGAUGCACUGCGUGCAGUUCGUUCUUGCCGGUGAAAUGCGGUUGCAGUCAACGCACACGAUGCACCAUGGUUGUUGGCGGCCAUAUGGCUUUAUCCGACCCGUCUUGAAACACGGACCAAGGAGUCUAACAUGUGCGCAAGUCUUGGGGUGACCGAAACCCAGAGGCGCAAUGAAAGUGAAGGCUGCCUAGCAGCUGAGGUGAGAUCUUUGCUCUACGCGAGUGAGGCGCAUCAUCGACCGACCUAUUCUACUCUUAGGAAGGUUUGAGUAAGAGCGUACAUGUUGGGACCCGAAAGAUGGUGAACUAUGCCUGAGUAGGGUGAAGCCAGAGGAAACUCUGGUGGAAGCUCGUAGCGAUUCUGACGUGCAAAUCGAUCGUCGAACUUGGGUAUAGGGGCGAAAGACUAAUCGAACCA